RNAcentral lists this ribosomal RNA (2424 nucleotides) under human gut metagenome. RNAcentral describes it as "bacterial LSU rRNA". It matches the Rfam family "Bacterial large subunit ribosomal RNA", at positions 481 to 2925 of the family's 2925-position model. The record is from RNAcentral.
UGACCGAUAGUGAACCAGUACCGUGAGGGAAAGGUGAAAAGAACCCCGGGAGGGGAGUGAAAGAGAACCUGAAACCAUAUGCCUACAAGAAGUCAGAGCCCGUUAAAGGGUGAUGGCGUGCCUUUUGUAGAAUGAACCGGCGAGUUACUGUAUGGAGCGAGGUUAAGCAGGAUAUGCGGAGCCGAAGCGAAAGCGAGUCUUAAGAGGGCGCGAGUUGCAUGCAGUAGACCCGAAACCGGGUGAUCUAGCCAUGACCAGGUUGAAGUUGGGGUAAAACCCGAUGGAGGACCGAACCGACCCCCGUUGAAACGUUGGCGGAUGAGUUGUGGCUAGGGGUGAAAUUCCAAUCGAACCCGGAGAUAGCUGGUUCUCCCCGAAAUAGCUUUAGGGCUAGCGUCGAGAGAAGAGUUGCGUGAAGGUAGAGCACUGAAUAUGUGAUGGCCCCAUCUCGGGGUACUGAGCAUAAUCAAACUGCGAAUGUCACGCCAACAUGCUCGGCAGUCAGACAGCGGGUGAUAAGGUCCGUUGUCAAGAGGGAAACAGCCCAGACCAUCAGCUAAGGUCCCAAAAUGUAUGCUAAGUGGAAAAGGAUGUGGAGAUGUACAGACAACUAGGAGGUUGGCUCAGAAGCAGCCAUCCUUUAAAGAGUGCGUAACAGCUCACUAGUCGAAUGACUCUGCGCCGAUAAUUUACCGGGGCUAAGCAUACUACCGAAGCUAUGGAUCCCAAGGGAUGGUAGGGGAGCGUUCCAUGAACGGAGAAGUACGACCGAAAGGACGUGUGGAGAUCAUGGAAGAGAGAAUGCCGGUGUGAGUAGCGGAACGUGGGUGAGAAUCCCACGCACCGAAAACCCAAGGUUUCCAGAGGAAGGUUCGUCCGCUCUGGGUAAGUCGGGACCUAAGGCGAGGCCGAAAGGCGUAGUCGAUGGACAACAGGUAGAGAUUCCUGUACCCGUAUAUAUGUGAAGGAAUGACGGAGAGAGGAAGCUGCAGCCAGCGGCUGGAAGAGCUGGUGCAAGCGAGAUAUCGGGAUGGCAGGCAAAUCCACCAUCCGAAACGAGAAGGCGUGAAGCGUACGGAAAGCUACGGCGAGUACGGAAGGCAGUGGAGGAACUUCCAAGAAAAGUUUCUAACGUUAAGUAUAUAUGGCCCGUACCGAAAAUGGACACACAUGGGUGAGGAGAGAAUCCUAAGGUGAGCGAGAGAACUAUAGCUAAGGAACUCUGCAAAAUGACUCCGUAACUUAGGGAGAAGGAGUGCUCAUAGAGAUAUGAGCCGCAGUGAAACGGCCCAAGCGACUGUUUACCAAAAACACAGCUCUCUGCUAAGCCGCAAGGCGAAGUAUAGGGGGUGACGCCUGCCCGGUGCUGGAAGGUUAAGGGGAGGGGUUAACGCAAGUGAAGCCCUGAACUGAAGCCCCAGUAAACGGCGGCCGUAACUAUAACGGUCCUAAGGUAGCGAAAUUCCUUGUCAGGUAAGUUCUGACCCGCACGAAAGGCGUAACGAUUUGGGCGCUGUCUCAGCUGUAGACUCGGUGAAGUCUUAGUACCUGUGAAGAUGCAGGUUACCCGCGACUAGACGGAAAGACCCCAUGGAGCUUCACUGCAGGUUGAUAUUGGGAUUUGAUGCAGCAUGUACAGGAUAGGUAGGAGGCAAAGAGAUGGAUACGCCAGUAUUCAAGGAGCCGCUGUUGGGAUACUACCCCUGUUGUAUUGGAUUUCUAACCGGACGACGUAGAGCCGUUGACGGGACAGUGUCAGUCGGGCAGUUUGACUGGGGCGGUCGCCUCCCAAAGAGUAACGGAGGCGCCCAAAGAUACCCUCAGCUUGGAUGGAAACCAAGCGCAGAGUGCAAAGGCAAAAGGGUGUUUGACUGCGAGACCCACAAGUCGAGCAGGGACGAAAGUCGGGCUUAGUGAUCCGGCGGUGCUGAAUGGAAAGGCCGUCGCUCAACGGAUAAAAGCUACCCUGGGGAUAACAGGCUGAUCUCCCCCAAGAGUUCACAUCGACGGGGAGGUUUGGCACCUCGAUGUCGGCUCAUCGCAUCCUGGAGCUGAAGUCGGUUCCAAGGGUUGGGCUGUUCGCCCAUUAAAGCGGUACGCGAGCUGGGUUCAGAACGUCGUGAGACAGUUCGGUCCCUAUCUGUCGUGGGCGCAGGAAAUUUGAGAAGAGCUGUCCUCAGUACGAGAGGACCGGGAUGGACGCAUCAAUGGUGGACCAGUUGUCACGCCAGUGGCAUAGCUGGGUAGCUAAAUGCGGAAGGGAUAAACGCUGAAGGCAUCUAAGUGUGAAACCCACUUCAAGAUGAGAUUUCCCAUUGCGCAAGCAAGUAAGACCCCUUAAAGACGAUAAGGUAGAUAGGUCAGGAGUGUAAGCAUGGUGACAUGUUAAGCGGACUGAUACUAAUAGGUCGAGGGCUUGACCGA